UUUCCGUAGGUGAACCUGCGGAAGGAUCAUUAAAGUUAUAGUCCCCCGGCCCCUCCGGGCUGGGGUCUUCUAUACCACCCUUUGUUUAUUACACCUUUGUUGCUUUGGCAGGCCUGCCCUCGGGCUGCUGGCUCCGGCCGGCUCGUGCCUGCCAGAGGACCUAAACUCUGUUUGUAUAUGAAGUCUGAGUACUAUAUAAUAGUUAAAACUUUCAACAACGGAUCUCUUGGCUCUG
This 235-nucleotide unclassified non-coding RNA is filed under the name plant metagenome. Its description in RNAcentral is "partial contains small subunit ribosomal RNA, internal transcribed spacer 1, and 5.8S ribosomal RNA". The record is from RNAcentral.